Molecule: long non-coding RNA, 1335 nt
Organism: Manis javanica (Malayan pangolin)
Lineage: Eukaryota; Metazoa; Chordata; Mammalia; Pholidota; Manidae
Source: RefSeq, a predicted model, not a curated record
CACCAGUGCUAGAAGUCCUGACUACAUUCUAUCACCAUCUGCACAAUGUGCAAUCCAAAGGGAUUAAGAGACUCAAGCCCUUCCUUUUCUCACUCCCCAAGAGUAAAACAGACCUUGGGUGUUCCUGAAGAUAGUUCCUUGUCUCGAGCUCAGUGAGGAGUGACUGGUUCAGAGUGCCCUGGACGUUAGCGGGUUGGUUGUGCCCACCUGACCACACAGGACCGCUCUGCGGUCUUCCGCAUAAACACAUCACGUGUUUGACAGGCGCACCGCUACCCGCAGCAGAAAGAACACUCCCUUUAAAGACACAUGGAUCCAAAUUCAAGCAUUACCAAUUCAUGCUCAUGUAACCUUGAAUGAGUUAUUUACCUUUCUGAGUUUCUCUUUCUCACUUUUCUAAAAUGAAUAGACUAUUACCAACUUACAAAGGAAACUGUUUCCUUAUUAAGGCAAAAUCUAAGACACCCACAGCAAUGGAAGAAGAAACUUGGUGGUAAGGCGGGUGGGGAACCAAGCUGCCCUACAUUUCCCCCAGUUUCAUCUUUUUGUGAGACUGUCUCAAUUUUACUACCUCUGCUAGCAGCUGGAACCUUAUCAGAGGUACAUUCAUUAGCCGUAGUUGAAUCAGAAAAUACGCAUUGUGCAAACUAGGCUUUUGCUGUGCUUUUUGUCUUUUCUGGAUUCAUGUCCUUUUUAUUUCUUUCCUUAUUAUUUAGCAAAGUCUCUUUAAAUCAGAAACCUAGAAAACACAAAGUUUCAGUUAUGUCAAUGUAUCUAGUUUGGGAUUUCUGGAUAUCUAAAGGAGUAUAGCUGAAGACAGAGAAUAAACAUUGUACUCAGGGCAGCAAAGCUCAGGAGUGAUACCUAAGAAACUUUAGGGGAUGAGUAAUUGGUUAGGUAUAAUUCUCUACUAGGAAGAAUAACAAAGUGGUUGUCACAAGACUGAAUAUGACAAUAGCUCUAAAAGUGUUUAGUACAGUAAUAUGGCACAUUCUUCUGAAGUAUUUUGACAAGUAGAAAUGCAAAGCUAAACUUAGAUUAUGUUUUUAAACAUUUUUAUAAAAAGCUUACCAAAGUUCUACUAGAAAGGGGAAAGUGAGAUGAUCAUCUUUAAAAAUUAUAUUCACUAAUUCCACUCAUCCAGCUUAAAAUACAUCAUCCAAUAUAAUCAUGUAACUUUUUAAUGAAAUCUGUGGUAGGGAUAAUUACCCCUGUGUUACCAGAGGCAAAGAGACAUUAUGUGCUCAUUUCCAAAUCAAGAGUGGAGAUUAAAUUGGGACUGAAAAUUCUUGGCUCCUAUAGACAAUCAAUGCUCAAUAAAACUUGUUGAAUGCA